UACGUAGGGUGCGAGCGUUAAUCGGAAUUACUGGGCGUAAAGUGUGCGCAGGCGGCUUCGCAAGUCGAGUGUGAAAUCCCCGAGCUUAACUUGGGAAUUGCGCUCGAAACUACGGAGCUGGAGUGCGGCAGAGGGGGAUGGAAUUCCGCGUGUAGCAGUGAAAUGCGUAGAUAUGCGGAGGAACACCGAUGGCGAAGGCAAUCCCCUGGGCCUGCACUGACGCUCAUGCACGAAAGCGUGGGGAGCAAACAGG
This 253-nucleotide ribosomal RNA is filed under the name uncultured bacterium. Its description in RNAcentral is "partial 16S ribosomal RNA". It matches the Rfam family "Bacterial small subunit ribosomal RNA", at positions 524 to 776 of the family's 1533-position model. The record is from RNAcentral.